GAUCAUGGCUCAGGACGAACGCUGGCGGCGCGCCUAACACAUGCAAGUCGAACGAGCGAGAGAGAGCUUGCUUUCUCGAGCGAGUGGCGAACGGGUGAGUAACGCGUGAGGAACCUGCCUCAAAGAGGGGGACAACAGUUGGAAACGACUGCUAAUACCGCAUAAGCCCACAGCUCGGCAUCGAGCAGAGGGAAAGGGAGCAAUCCGCUUUGAGAUGGCCUCGCGUCCGA
RNAcentral lists this ribosomal RNA (230 nucleotides) under uncultured bacterium. RNAcentral's name for it is "partial 16S ribosomal RNA". It matches the Rfam family "Bacterial small subunit ribosomal RNA", at positions 15 to 240 of the family's 1533-position model. The record is from RNAcentral.